ACCCGAAGGUGGUGCGCCAACCAGCAAUGGAGGCAGCCAACCACGGUAGGAUCAGUGACUGGGGUGAAGUCGUAACAAGGUAGCCGUAGGGGAACCUGCGGCUGGAUCACCUCCUUUCUAAGG
This 123-nucleotide ribosomal RNA is filed under the name Pseudomonadota bacterium. RNAcentral's name for it is "Proteobacteria bacterium partial 16S ribosomal RNA". It matches the Rfam family "Bacterial small subunit ribosomal RNA", at positions 1419 to 1533 of the family's 1533-position model. The record is from RNAcentral. Lineage: Bacteria; Pseudomonadati; Pseudomonadota.